Molecule: long non-coding RNA, 452 nt
Organism: Archocentrus centrarchus (flier cichlid)
Lineage: Eukaryota; Metazoa; Chordata; Actinopteri; Cichliformes; Cichlidae
Exons: 3
Source: RefSeq, a predicted model, not a curated record
GGCCUGUGUGUUUCAGACACCUCACUUCUUCAGCCAUGGACAAAGGUUUGCUGAUUGUCCUUGUUCUUCUGCUCACCACAGCUUUCAUUUCUACUGAUGCAGCUGCUUUGGUGACAGAUGGUCAUCAACAGCAACCUGCUGUUAGGGCAGAAAAAAGAAUUGAGCAGAUGAAAAUUCGGGCCAUGAAGACAAGCUGUGGGAAGAAACCAGGUGGAUGCUCGCCUUUACUACGCUUCAUUCCCACCACUCCAUCCAUAAGACAUGUUGGGGAAACAAAUAUUUGAUGCAACAUGAUGGAAUCAGUCAAAUUCGUGUUGUCUUGAAGAACACAAUUUUAAAACAAGCAUUUCAGGAACUGCUUAAGAUUGCUGAUGAGUGUGUACUGUACGCUGUAAUUCCUAAACAAAAGAAAAUGCAGAUCAUUUAAUUACAUUAAAAUAUUUCAGAAGCAA